UAAAGCGGGUCUCGUGCCUUAGGGUUUUACCCUUCCCCCUCUCUUCCUUCUGUGUGCCGCCGCUGCUAGGUUAGAGCAGCCCCCGCCAUAGCCGUCGCCAUGAUUGAGCUGCUGCCGAGCUCGAGAUCGAGCACGGCCUGAUCAUCCCUACCUUCUUCUUCCCGGGGGCAUCACGGGUGUGGUCGUCUUCUUCCUCUCGAGUGCGCGAGACCGCGAGGACAGAAGGAAGCCGCCGCUGACGAGCCUCUGCAUCCCCUGCUUCCUCCUCGCCAGGACCAAGCUCGACGUCGCCCCGCAGCUCGUCGUCGACCGUCCCCAUCGCCUCUGUCAGUGAUGGGAUGGCUCCAACAACUCGCGAGAACCCGGGUCGUGAGGGUGAGCAGUCAAAUCCUCCACCACCCCCUCUGCGACCGCCUACUCCUCAAGAGGCAUGGCAAGCUUUGAUGGCUGCAACCAAUGCAAACACUCAAAUGCUGCUUCAGAUGAUCCAAGAAAGGAACUAAGGCCAGCAGGGGAAUUUCAACAAUGGGCAGCAAUUUGCAACUCUGAAUCAAUUUCUAGCAAAUGAGCCCAAGUCCUUCACUUAUUGUGAGCAGCCGUUCGAUGGGGAUGAUUGGCUCCGUGACAUGAACAAACACUUUGAGUGCAGUAAUGUCAGACCUGAGGACUUUGUCAGGUUUGCAACUUUCCAGCUGAAAGGUCAGGCAACAGAAUGGUGGGAGGAAAUGAAGGAUUCUAGAGGCGACAGAGUGAUUAGUUGGGAUGAUUUCUGUCGUGAUUUUAGGGCUCAUCACAUUCCAGCUAGCUUUGUGGAAGGCAUGCGUGAGAAGUUCAGGCGCUUGAAGCAAGGGAAUUCAUCAGUGUAUGAUUACAACGUUGAGUUCCAGAACCUUGCACGAUAUGCCAAGCAAGAUGUUCCUGAUCAAAAGAGCAAGAUUUAUCAGUUUCGUGGUGGUCUCAAAGAAGAUUUGCAGUUGUCCCUCGCCUUGCACGAUCCUACUGAGUUCGACCAGUUCUAAAACAUUGCUCCCAGUGCUGAGUGAGCUUUGCUCAAGGUGGAAAACUCAAGGAAGCGUUUCACGGACUCCUGUUCUUCCUCAUCCUCAGCUCAUAUUGUCCUGAAGACGCAGAAAUACUGGGUUUCUUGUCCUCCUCUUCAGUCUCAGCAGUUCAAGCGGUCUGGUGGUUGUGGAUCUUCCCACCCACACAACCUAGCUUUCCAGCAGAAGUUUCAGCAGCCAAAGUCAGGAGGUCCUCCAACUCAAUUUCGUCCGCUGUCGGAGGCUACUUGUCACAAGUGUGGACAGAACGGUCAUUACUCAAACAAGUGUAGCAGUCAGUAGUGUCUUCCGCCUCCUCCUCCAAUCAGGCCACCAGGCAAUGCAAUGGUGAAGCAUAAUCCAAAUACAACAAGAGUAAACAUGGUGAAUGCAACUGAAGCAGAGGAGUCAUCAGAUCUGAUCAUGGGUAAUCUCUUGGUUAAUUCUAUUUUGGCAAGAGUUUUAUUUGAAACUGGUGCAUCACAAUCAUUCAUUUCAAGGCCUUUUGUUGCUAAGCAUGAUUUAGCGAAAGAGGACACUCCUAAGCGUUUAAAAAUCAUUUCUUCGGGCAUGCAAAUGACUUCAAAUGUGUCUGUUCAAAAUGCUUCUAUCAAGAUGUGCAGUUAUUCCUUUUUGGCUU
This is a long non-coding RNA of Hordeum vulgare subsp. vulgare (domesticated barley), 1680 nucleotides long. RefSeq lists it as uncharacterized. The transcript is spliced from 2 exons. The record is from RefSeq and is a predicted model, not a curated record. NCBI's taxonomy places the organism in Eukaryota, Viridiplantae, Streptophyta, Magnoliopsida, Poales, Poaceae.